GUGGAACAAGUUUCCGUAGGUGAACCUGCGGAAGGAUCAUUACCGAGUGCGGGCUGCCUCCGGGCGCCCAACCUCCCACCCGUGACUACCUAACACUGUUGCUUCGGCGGGGAGCCCUCUCGGGGGCGAGCCGCCGGGGACUACUGAACUUCAUGCCUGAGAGUGAUGCAGUCUGAGUCUGAAUAUAAAAUCAGUCAAAACUUUCAACAAUGGAUCUCUUGGUUCCGGCACCGAUGAAGAACGCAGCGAACUGCGAUAAGUAAUGUGAAUUGCAGAAUUCAGUGAAUCAUCGAGUCGGUGAACGCACAUUGCGCCCUGGCAUUCCGGGGGGCAUGCCUGUCCGAGCGUCAUUGCUGCCCAUCAAGCCCGGCUUGUGUGUUGGGUCGUCGUCCCCCCCGGGGGACGGGCCCGAAAGGCAGCGGCGGCACCGUGUCCGGUCUUCGAGCGUAUGGGGCUUUGUCACCCGCUCGAUUAGGGCCGGCCGGGCGCCAGCCGACGUCUCCAACCAUUUCUUCAGGUUGACCUCGGAUCAGG
Molecule: ribosomal RNA, 534 nt
Filed under: Aspergillus versicolor
Lineage: Eukaryota; Fungi; Ascomycota; Eurotiomycetes; Eurotiales; Aspergillaceae
Description: eukaryotic LSU rRNA
Rfam family: 5.8S ribosomal RNA (bases 199-350)
Source: RNAcentral